Molecule: ribosomal RNA, 210 nt
Filed under: uncultured Rhodocyclaceae bacterium
Lineage: Bacteria; Pseudomonadati; Pseudomonadota; Betaproteobacteria; Rhodocyclales; Rhodocyclaceae
Description: partial 16S ribosomal RNA
Rfam family: Bacterial small subunit ribosomal RNA
Source: RNAcentral
UGGGGAUGACGUCAAGUCCUCACUGGCCCUUAUGGGUAGGGCUUCACACGUCAUACAAUGGUCGGUACAGAGGGUUGCCAACCCGCGAGGGGGAGCUAAUCCCACAAAGCCGAUCGUAGUCCGGAUUGCAGUCUGCAACUCGACUGCGUGAAGUCGGAAUCGCUAGUAAUCGUGGAUCAGCAUGUCACGGUGAAUACGUUCCCGGGUCUU